Molecule: ribosomal RNA, 506 nt
Filed under: uncultured bacterium
Lineage: Bacteria
Description: partial 16S ribosomal RNA
Rfam family: Bacterial small subunit ribosomal RNA
Source: RNAcentral
GAUGAACGCUAGCUACAGGCUUAACACAUGCAAGUCGAGGGGUAACGAGAGGGAAGCUUGCUUUCCUUGUCGACGACCGGCGCACGGGUGAGUAACGCGUAUCCAACCUGCCCCCAACUAGGGAAUAACCUUGCGAAAGUAAGACUAAUACCCUAUAAUUUCCUCAGAUGUCAUCUGACGAGGAAUAAAGAUUUAUCGGUUGUGGAUGGGGAUGCGUCUGAUUAGCUUGUUGGCGGGGUAACGGCCCACCAAGGCAACGAUCAGUAGGGGUUCUGAGAGGAAUGUCCCCCACAUUGGAACUGAGACACGGUCCAAACUCCUACGGGAGGCAGCAGUGAGGAAUAUUGUUCAAUGGGCGGAAGCCUGAACCAGCAAAGUAGCGUGCAGGAUGACGGCCCUAUGGGUUGUAAACUGCUUUUAUACAGGAAUAAAGUUAGCCACGUGUGGUUAUUUGUAGGUACUGUAUGAAUAAGGACCGGCUAAUUCCGUGCCAGCAGCCGCGGUAA